Molecule: ribosomal RNA, 253 nt
Filed under: uncultured bacterium
Lineage: Bacteria
Description: partial 16S ribosomal RNA
Rfam family: Bacterial small subunit ribosomal RNA
Source: RNAcentral
UACAGAGGGUGCGAGCGUUAAUCGGAAUUACUGGGCGUAAAGCGUGCGUAGACGGUUAUAUAAGUCGGGUGUGAAAGCCCCGGGCUCAACCUGGGAAUUGCAUUCGAGACUGCAUAGCUAGGGUGCGGAAGAGGGAAGCGGAAUUUCCGGUGUAGCGGUGAAAUGCGUAGAUAUCGGAAGGAACAUCAGUGGCGAAAGCGGCUUCCUGGUCCAGCACCGACGUUCAGGCACGAAAGCGUGGGGAGCAAACAGG